RNAcentral lists this transfer RNA (76 nucleotides) under Gracilibacillus boraciitolerans JCM 21714. It matches the Rfam family "tRNA". From Rfam's summary of the family: Transfer RNA (tRNA) molecules are approximately 80 nucleotides in length. The record is from Rfam by way of RNAcentral. Lineage: Bacteria; Bacillati; Bacillota; Bacilli; Caryophanales; Bacillaceae.
GGCCCUAUAGCUCAGGGGGGGAUAGAGCAUUCGUUUCCUAAACGAUGUGUCGCAGGUUCGAAUCCUGCUAGGGCCG